GGUGAAGCAUUUACUGCGUAAGCUCAUGCCGGUCGAAGAUACCAGGCCGCUGCGACUGUUUAUUAAAAACACAGCACUCUGCAAACACGAAAGUGGACGUAUAGGGUGUGACGCCUGCCCGGUGCCGGAAGGUUAAUUGAUGGGGUUAGCGCAAGCGAAGCUCUUGAUCGAAGCCCCGGUAAACGGCGGCCGUAACUAUAACGGUCCUAAGGUAGCGAAAUUCCUUGUCGGGUAAGUUCCGACCUGCACGAAUGGCGUAACGAUGGCGGCGCUGUCUCCACCCGAGACUCAGUGAAAUUGAAAUCGCUGUGAAGAUGCAGUGUAUCCGCGGCUAGACGGAAAGACCCCGUGAACCUUUACUAUAGCUUUGCACUGGACUUUGAAUUUGCUUGUGUAGGAUAGGUGGGAGGCUUUGAAGCGUGGACGCCAGUCUGCGUGGAGCCAACCUUGAAAUACCACCCUGGCAACUUUGAGGUUCUAACUCAGGUCCGUUAUCCGGAUCGAGGACAGUGUAUGGUGGGUAGUUUGACUGGGGCGGUCUCCUCCUAAAGAGUAACGGAGGAGUACGAAGGUGCGCUCAGACCGGUCGGAAAUCGGUCGUAGAGUAUAAAGGCAAAAGCGCGCUUGACUGCGAGACAGACACGUCGAGCAGGUACGAAAGUAGGUCUUAGUGAUCCGGUGGUUCUGUAUGGAAGGGCCAUCGCUCAACGGAUAAAAGGUACUCCGGGGAUAACAGGCUGAUACCGCCCAAGAGUUCAUAUCGACGGCGGUGUUUGGCACCUCGAUGUCGGCUCAUCACAUCCUGGGGCUGAAGCCGGUCCCAAGGGUAUGGCUGUUCGCCAUUUAAAGUGGUACGCGAGCUGGGUUUAGAACGUCGUGAGACAGUUCGGUCCCUAUCUGCCGUGGACGUUUGAGAUUUGAGAGGGGCUGCUCCUAGUACGAGAGGACCGGAGUGGACGAACCUCUGGUGUUCCGGUUGUCACGCCAGUGGCAUUGCCGGGUAGCUAUGUUCGGAAAAGAUAACCGCUGAAAGCAUCUAAGCGGGAAACUUGCCUCAAGAUGAGAUCUCACUGGAACCUUGAGUUCCCUAAAGGGCCGUCGAAGACUACGACGUUGAUAGGUUGGGUGUGUAAGCGCUGUGAGGCGUUGAGCUAACCAAUACUAAUUGCCCGUGAGGCUUGACCAUAUAACACCCAAGCAAUU
Molecule: ribosomal RNA, 1203 nt
Filed under: Pseudomonas syringae
Lineage: Bacteria; Pseudomonadati; Pseudomonadota; Gammaproteobacteria; Pseudomonadales; Pseudomonadaceae
Description: partial 23S ribosomal RNA
Rfam family: Bacterial large subunit ribosomal RNA
Source: RNAcentral